This 253-nucleotide ribosomal RNA is filed under the name uncultured bacterium. RNAcentral describes it as "partial 16S ribosomal RNA". It matches the Rfam family "Bacterial small subunit ribosomal RNA", at positions 524 to 776 of the family's 1533-position model. The record is from RNAcentral.
UACAGAGGUCCCAAGCGUUGUUCGGAUUCACUGGGCGUAAAGGGUGCGUAGACGGUUGGGUAAGUCUGUCGUGAAAUCUCCGAGCCUAACUCGGAAACUGCGUCGGAUACUAUUCAACUCGAGGAAUGGAGGGGAGACUGGAAUUCUCGGUGUAGCAGUGAAAUGCGUAGAUAUCGAGAGGAACACCAGUGGCGAAGGCGAGUCUCUGGACAGUUCCUGACACUGAGACACGAAGGCCAGGGGAGCAAACGGG